CCUGUGAGGCGCAGGCGGCCGUAGCCAGCCGCCCUCGGGCGUUCCGUGCCUCGCGGGGCUCCGUGGAAGGGGCUCGGGCGGCGAAGGGUAGACUGGGCGCCAUGAGGUAGCGCUGGCGGGAGCUCCGAAGGGUUGUCGCCGAGCUGGCGGGAGCAAGAUGAAAACAAGAGCAAGCAAGAGUAAAGUGAGGCAGCCUGGGCAGGCGAUCCGGCUCCGUGCUGGGCAUACUCGGGAAAGAUACUGAAGAGAAGCCUGCGUGUCAUGCUGCCCCUGCACAGAUCUUUGGUACGAGCACAGGAACAAUACAGUGCUCCGGCCUGGUCACUUCACGUGGAACCAGAGGUGCAGAAAAGGGCAAUUAGGAGCCAAGGCCGAGCUGGAACUGACCUUUAGGACAGCCGAAGCAACCCAGAGUGCAGGUGCAGCCUCCUCCUGCGUUGGUCCCCUUGCUUUUCUUUAUCAUUUCCCCCCUUCUAAGAGGAAGCAAGGCAGCUCACAAGGAAAAGUGGGACCAGACUUGUCGAUGCUUAUGGAGAAGUCCUGUCCACAGGGCAGCGUUUGACCUCCUGUGACUGGUGAAGGAGCAGGCCUUGCCAGUGCUCCCUAGGAGGCUCUUCUUGAUGUGAGCUCCGGUGCACCCGAGUUUGGCCAGAACUCCCUCCCUCCUCGGAAGCUGUCUGCCUGGUGGGAGUGCAGUGUAAGCACCAGCCACAGUCCCAGGGAAUGGGACAUCCCAUUGAGGGAAUGGGGGACGUCCCUCAGCAGAAAAGGAGGCAUCACUCUGCUGGAUGAGAUACCAAACACCCUGUCGGGAUAGUGGGGGGUGGGCAGUCUUUCCCCAGGCUGUCCCUAGGAUUUUGGAAAAUAAAUUGCUUCUGAACAUAAGAUUCUUGCCAGGUGUUGCAAUAACUAACUGUAAGCAUCAAAGGGCAGACUUUUCCAUAUUGGAUAAAGCUGAGACUAUGGAGCUCAUUACAGGGUAUUCUUGUUUCUGAUGCAGGUGUUUUUUUUUGUUUUUGUUUGUUUGUUUGUUUGUUUUUUUGAGGCCCUGGACAAUCAGAUCACACUCAGGCCACUGGAUAUCAGAGAACCUUAUCUAUUGUAGAUUAAGAAAAUAAUACAGUUGGAAGGGCCAUAAAGGCAUCUGCAGAUCUGUUAAGCAUUCCCUGUACCGCCUCAUCUUAAACAUUACUAAAAAUGUUGAAGAACACUGUACCCAGCAUCCAACCCUGCAGUAUUUAUUUUAAUUUUUAUAUACUGCCCCAUUCUCAUAGAUGCUGGGUAGUUUACAAGAGGAAUAGAAAACAUGUAACCAGUUAUUCAAGCAUCCUUAAUUUAAAUGAACAAAAGCUCACGUUCUGCAGACUUGGUUCAUAAUUACAGUAGUAGGCAUAAAGUGCCAAUGUAGCAAAAUAUCAAUUUAUCCAAUGUGGAAUUUUUAAAAUGAUGAAAUAAAAGUUCUCUUCUUGACUUGCGCUGCCCAAAAUAA
Varanus komodoensis (Komodo dragon) is the source of this 1489-nucleotide long non-coding RNA. RefSeq lists it as uncharacterized. NCBI's taxonomy places the organism in Eukaryota, Metazoa, Chordata, Lepidosauria, Squamata, Varanidae. The transcript has 3 exons. The record is from RefSeq and is a predicted model, not a curated record.